UAGGGAAUCUUCCACAAUGGGCGCAAGCCUGAUGGAGCAACGCCGCGUGAGUGAAGAAGGUCUUCGGAUCGUAAAACUCUGUUGUUAGAGAAGAACACGAGUGAGAGUAACUGUUCAUUCGAUGACGGUAUCUAACCAGAAAGCCACGGCUAACUACGUGCCAA
Molecule: ribosomal RNA, 164 nt
Filed under: uncultured bacterium
Lineage: Bacteria
Description: partial 16S rRNA
Rfam family: Bacterial small subunit ribosomal RNA
Source: RNAcentral